CUGCUCGCUUCAGCAGCAUAUAUACUAAAAUUGGAACGAUACAGAGAAGAUUAGCAUGGCUCCAAUACAAGGAUGACAUGCAAAUUUGUGAAAUAUUCCUUAUUUUG
Octodon degus (degu) is the source of this 107-nucleotide small nuclear RNA. The record is from Ensembl. Lineage: Eukaryota; Metazoa; Chordata; Mammalia; Rodentia; Octodontidae.